CCCUUAGACGCUCUAGGCGGCACGCGCGCUACAAUGGGUGGUAGAACGUGUAACUGCUCCCGAAAGGGAGGGUGAACCGCGAAUACUUACCCGUGAAUGGGAUAGUUUGUUGCAAUUUUCGGACUUGAACUAGGAAUCCCUUGUAAGAAUGCUCAAGAAUAGCGUGCUGAAUACGUCCCUGCCGUUUGUACACACCGCCCGUCGUUUCUUCCGACUGAUACUCAUUGUGAGUUGCAAGGAUUCUUAUUGAAAAAUUGCUGCGAAUGCUUUGUAUUGGAGGAAGAAAAAGUCGUAACA
Molecule: ribosomal RNA, 297 nt
Filed under: uncultured eukaryote
Lineage: Eukaryota
Description: partial 18S ribosomal RNA
Rfam family: Eukaryotic small subunit ribosomal RNA
Source: RNAcentral